CUCCGGUUGAUCCUGCCGGACCCGACUGCUAUCAGAGUGGGACUAAGCCAUGCGAGUCAACAUAGCAAUAUGUGGCAUACGGCUCAGUAACACGUAGUCAACAUGCCCAGGGGACGUGGAUAACCUCGGGAAACUGAGGAUAAACCGCGAUAAGUCACUACUUCUGGAAUGGGUAAUGACUCAAAUCUACAUGGCCCCUGGAUUGGACUGCGGCCGAUCAGGCUGUUGGUGAGGUAAUGGCCCACCAAACCUGUAACCGGUACGGGCUCUGAGAGGAGGAGCCCGGAGAUGGGCACUGAGACAAGGGCCCAGGCCCUAUGGGGCGCAGCAGGCGCGAAACCUCUGCAAUAGGCGAAAGCCUGACAGGGUUACUCUGAGUGAUUUCCGUUAAGGAGAUCUUUUGGCACCUCUAAAAAUGGUGCAGAAUAAGGGGUGGGCAAGUCUGGUGUCAGCCGCCGCGGUAAUACCAGCACCCCGAGUGGUCGGGACGUUUAUUGGGCCUAAAGCAUCCGUAGCCGGUUCUACAAGUCUUCCGUUAAAUCCACCUGCUUAACAGAUGGGCUGCGGAAGAUACUAUAGAGCUAGGAGGCGGGAGAGGCAAGCGGUACUCGAUGGGUAGGGGUAAAAUCCGUUGAUCCAUUGAAGACCACCAGUGGCGAAGGCGGCUUGCCAGAACGCGCUCGACGGUGAGGGAUGAAAGCUGGGGGAGCAAACCGGAUUAGAUACCCGGGUAGUCCCAGCUGUAAACGAUGCAGACUCGGUGAUGAGUUGGCUUAUUGCUAACUCAGUGCCGCAGGGAAGCCGUUAAGUCUGCCGCCUGGGGAGUACGGUCGCAAGACUGAAACUUAAAGGGAUUGGCGGGGGAGCA
RNAcentral lists this ribosomal RNA (868 nucleotides) under uncultured archaeon. RNAcentral describes it as "bacterial SSU rRNA". It matches the Rfam family "Archaeal small subunit ribosomal RNA", at positions 1 to 878 of the family's 1478-position model. The record is from RNAcentral.